AUGCUCACAGUAAAAAAGGAGAUGGAGGUAGAGGAAAAGCAAGAGAAGGGAUCAAGGUGGAUGGAGGUCAAGGCCUUGGAGGAGCGCAAGGUGGCAAUUGAAGAAGAGAAGUUGAAAGUCCUCAGAGAGAAAAUGUGCCUGAAGAAGAUGGAGCAAGAAUAUAAGAUCAUGUUCAUGGACAUCAGUGGGCUAAGUGAGACACAAAGAAAGUAUGUGGAAUUAACGCGUGCGCGGAUCCUAGCAUCAAGGAUGGGAGCGGGUGCGGUUGGGAGUGGAAAUAGGACUGGGUGA
Molecule: ribosomal RNA, 291 nt
Filed under: Triticum aestivum (bread wheat)
Lineage: Eukaryota; Viridiplantae; Streptophyta; Magnoliopsida; Poales; Poaceae
Description: partial small subunit ribosomal RNA
Source: RNAcentral